This 261-nucleotide ribosomal RNA is filed under the name uncultured bacterium. RNAcentral describes it as "partial 16S ribosomal RNA". It matches the Rfam family "Bacterial small subunit ribosomal RNA", at positions 524 to 784 of the family's 1533-position model. The record is from RNAcentral.
UACGGAGGGUGCAAGCGUUACCCGGAAUCAUUGGGCGUAAAGCGUCCGCAGGUGGUUUGUUAAGUCGAAUAUUGAAUCUUGAAGCCCAACUUCAAGCCUGUGUUCGAAACUGGCAGACUAGAGUUUUUCAGAGGUACAUGGAAUUCUGUGUGUAGGGGUAAAAUCCGUAGAUAUACAGAGGAACACCAAAAGCGAAGGCAAUGUACUGGGAAACAACUGACACUCAUGGACGAAAGCGUGGGGAGCGAACGGGAUUAGAAC